This 253-nucleotide unclassified non-coding RNA is filed under the name uncultured Staphylococcaceae bacterium. RNAcentral describes it as "contains 16S-23S intergenic spacer region". It matches the Rfam family "Bacterial small subunit ribosomal RNA", at positions 524 to 776 of the family's 1533-position model. Lineage: Bacteria; Bacillati; Bacillota; Bacilli; Caryophanales; Staphylococcaceae. The record is from RNAcentral.
UACGUAGGUGGCAAGCGUUGUCAGGAAUUAUUGGGCGUAAAGCGCGCGCAGGCGGUCUUUUAAGACUGAUGUGAAAGCCCCCGGCUCAACCGGGGAGGGUCAUUGGAAACUGGCAGACUUGAGUGCAGAAGAGGAGCGUGGAAUUCCAUGUGUAGAGGUGAAAUGCGGAGAGAUAUGGAGGAACACCAGUGGCGAAGGCGGCUCUCUGGUCUGCAACUGACGCUGAGGUGCGAAAGCGUGGGGAUCAAACAGG